UAUCGCCGGUUCUCGUACGAUCACUGAAGUUAAGCAACAUCGAGCCUAGUCAGUGCCUAGAUCGGUGACCUCUUGGGAAUACCAGGCGCAG
Molecule: non-coding RNA, 91 nt
Organism: Acanthosepion pharaonis
Lineage: Eukaryota; Metazoa; Mollusca; Cephalopoda; Sepiida; Sepiidae
Source: the annotation of a GenBank genome assembly